AGUGAACGCUGGCGGUAGGCCUAACACGUGCAAGUCGAACGGCAGCACAGAGGAGCUUGCUCCUUGGGUGGCGAGUGGCGGACGGGUGAGGAAUACAUCGGAAUCUACUCUGUCGUGGGGGAUAACGUAGGGAAACUUACGCUAAUACCGCAUACGACCUACGGGUGAAAGCAGGGGACCUUCGGGCCUUGCGCGAUUGAAUGAGCCGAUGUCGGAUUAGCUAGUUGGCGGGGUAAAAGCCCACCAAGGCGACGAUCCGUAGCUGGUCUGAGAGGAUGAUCAGCCACACUGGAACUGAGAGACGGUCCAGACUCCUACGGGAGGCAGCAGUGGGGAAUAUUGGACAAUGGGCGCAAGCCUGAUCCAGCCAUACCGCGUGGGUGAAGAAGGCCUUCGGGUUGUAAAGCCCUUUUGUUGGGAAAGAAAUCCAGCUGGCUAAUACCCGGUUGGGAUGACGGUACCCAAAGAAUAAGCACCGGCUAACUUCGUGCCAGCCGCCGCCGUAA
RNAcentral lists this ribosomal RNA (506 nucleotides) under uncultured bacterium. RNAcentral's name for it is "partial 16S ribosomal RNA". It matches the Rfam family "Bacterial small subunit ribosomal RNA", at positions 29 to 523 of the family's 1533-position model. The record is from RNAcentral.